Molecule: ribosomal RNA, 117 nt
Filed under: Lepisosteus oculatus (spotted gar)
Lineage: Eukaryota; Metazoa; Chordata; Actinopteri; Semionotiformes; Lepisosteidae
Source: RNAcentral
GCCAGCAGCUACAUCACCAUGCAGCUCUCAACUGGCAACCCGCUGAAGCUAAGCAUGUGUGAGCCUGGUCAGUACCUGGAUGGGAGUCCUCUUGGGAAGCUAUGUUUGCUGCCGGAA